CAGUCAGAGAUCUCAUCCCAAUACUUCCAAGUCUCGAGGUAGGAAAGGGGCAGCAGCAGCAGAGGGAGGAGGUGGACUGCGGGCAUGCAUCUGAGCAAGGCCCCAGGUGGUGUGGGGAACAGAAGUGAAGGGUACAGAGGGUCAGUGAGGUCUCCCAGGGUCUCACUGGGAGCAGUGAUGAGAAUACAGAACACAGGAGCCAGGGUACAUUUGAGAGGAAGGAGAUCAAUUCCGCCUGCAGGGAGAAAGGCAACUGCAAUGGGAGCCCAAAGCAUCCAGCCCGCUCUAAACAUCCCCACAAGGAUACCCACGGCUCCCAUUGCAGUUGCCUUUCUCCCUGCAGGCGGAAUUGAUCUCCUUCCUCUCAAAUGUACCCUGGUUCCUGUGUUCUGUAUUCUCAUCACUGCUCCCAGUGAGACCCUGGGAGACCUCACUGACCCUCUGUACCCUUCACUUCUGUUCCCCACACCACCUGGGGCCUUGCUCAGAUGCAUGC
Molecule: long non-coding RNA, 496 nt
Filed under: Equus caballus (horse)
Lineage: Eukaryota; Metazoa; Chordata; Mammalia; Perissodactyla; Equidae
Description: lncRNA (ENSECAG00000059590.1)
Source: RNAcentral